Long non-coding RNA from Oncorhynchus tshawytscha (Chinook salmon), 593 nucleotides. The record is from Ensembl. Lineage: Eukaryota; Metazoa; Chordata; Actinopteri; Salmoniformes; Salmonidae.
GAUGCUGUUUGUCUCUGUAGGACAGUAGUUCAUGUGGCUGUUUGUCUUUGUAGGACAGUAGUUCAGGUGGCUGUUUGUCUUUGUAGGACAGUAGUUCAGGUGGCUGUUUGUCUUUGUAGGACAGUAGUUCAGGUGGCUGUUUGUGUAGAUGCUGUUUGUCUCUGUAGGACAGUAGUUCAGGUGGCUGUUUGUGUAGAUGCUGUUUGUCUCUGUAGGACAGUAGUUCAGGUGGCUGUUUGUCUCUGUAGGACAGUAGUUCAGGUGGCUGUUUGUCUCUGUAGGACAGUAGUUCAGGUGGCUGUUUGUCUUUGUAGGACAGUAGUUCAGGUGGCUGUUUGUCUUUGUAGGACAGUAGUUCAGGUGGCUGUUUGUCUUUGUAGGACAGUAGUUCAGGUGGCUGUUUGUCUUUGUAGGACAGUAGUUCAGGUGGCUGUUUGUCUUUGUAGGACAGUAGUUCAGGUGGCUGUUUGUCUUUGUAGGACAGUAGUUCAGGUGGCUGUUUGUGUAGAUGCUCUUUGUCUUUGUAGGACAGUAGUUCAGGUGGCUGUUUGUGUAGAUGCUGUUUGUCUUUGUAGGACAGUAGUUCAGGUGGC